ACGCUUCGCCAUCGACCUGCCCGCCAUGUACCGACCAAGCUUUAGCUCGAGCUCGGGAUAGCCGUCGACGUCGCUUCCCCGGUCACCUCCAGCCGCCUUCUUCAAGUCGGUCUGCCUCCCCGUCGUCCCCUUCGUCCGCUGCUUCCACUACAUCACCGAGGGAGACGCCAAGUUCCGCGCCUGGCUCUUCCUCUGCUUCCUCUACUUCACGGACAGCAGCCUCACCAAGUUCAGAGCUCCCUCUCGUCGCCUCCAGCACGUCUCCGUCGACCCCGUCGUGUCCUAGGGUGAGCUGGGUAACGCUCCUCCCUCUCCCAUCCAUCCCUUUGCAUGUAGGCACCUGUAGGACUCGUCCGAUCCAUGUCUUCGCCGCGCUCGCAGUGCUCCGACGAUCUCUGAAUUUUUUUGUGCGAAGUUGCUGUUCUACCGUAGCGUGCCCGAGAUGUUCCCCGCUCUGUAUACCCUCGCGUACCACGACCUGCUCGCACCCUCGCAGCAGAGCAGCGUCCCGCAGCCCAUGCUCGUGCCGCAGCUCGCCUUCGCUUCGCCUCGCUGGCACCUAGCCGCUAUGAACGCAAGUUCAUGUGUGCACACACCCACACAUGCGCCGCUGCACCCGCACUCCCUGGCCUAUCCCGCACCCCCGCCGGUACCCCUUGGCUCCGGUGGUCGUCGUCGUUGCUCGCAGGCACCGCCGGCGACAUCUCUGCUGCAGAUGAGAAGGGACCCGUACCCGCUUCAGGUUGCCUCAAGAGGAGCCGAGCCCCUACCAAACCAGCAGCCCUGUCCUAGCCCAACUGGUAGCACACCCGCGAUUCCAACCAGGAGACCUGGGUUCGAAUCCCAGGCUCUCCAUAGUUUUUGGUGGUUUUAUUCUUCCAUGAGACACUGACGCCUCGGCCCCACUGGUCAUACACACAUCCAGCCACGUGGCCCACGGCCCUACCAGUCAGUCUAACGGCUGGGUACAGCCUGGGUGCACCUAGCUUUCCCCGCAGGUUUUUCUGUUUUAUUCCAUUUCGGAAUAUGCCAGUUUUGGCAUAUGCCGAGGUUACCAUUUAGGGCAGGUUGUAUCUUAGUGCACUUGUGAUGAUUUUUCUAUAGCAACCCUAACAUAUUAUAUAUGUUUUUGAGGUAGAAAAAUCCCACCAAUCCAUUGGUGGCAUUAGUUUCUGCAUUUGAGCAAGUUCAUAAUCAUGCCAUCUCACUUCAUAUUGUUGUUUUGUCUCUUAUGUGCUUGUUCAUGCAAAUAUGCUAGUUGUUUGUUUUGCACAUGAGUAGCUUCUUUUUCAUGCCUUCGUCAUGCUAGUACUUGUUCCAUGCCAUGACAUGCCUGGUAGUGAGUUAAUCAAGCCUGUAGAGAUGCCAUGAUGAAUCUGUUUCUGCUAUGUCUAGUAAUUCCACUAAGUCUGUAGAACUGUUAUCUCUUGCAUUAUUGCCAUGUUAUUCUAGUCAUGCUCUAGUGGUUUUUAGUUUGAGCUCAGUGUUCAUGUUUCUUAGAGCAUCUCCUGUACAUCACUGCUGUGCAUCUUGUUCAUAUGUUUGGGUGCUAUAGCUUACUUAUACUUUGCAUCCAAGUGGCCAUGUUGCUGUCUGCAUCAUAUCUUGUCGUGCUUGUCAUUUGAAAACCGUGCACCCGAAUCCGGUGAUCUCUAUAUCGAUUCCAACCGAAAUCGUCUCAUCUUUCCAGCGGCAUACUUGGAUUGCCAAGUUAAUGCCUUGCUCUUCAUCUUUCCUUCCGAAGCACGCAUAUGCUUUGCAUAUCACAUCUCGCAUAGCAUGACAUGUAUUGCAUCAUGUUGCUUGUGCAUUGCAUCGUGAUUUAUUGUGGUUCCUUUGCUUGUGUUCUUGCUUUGGGUAGAGCCAGGAGACGAGUACGUGCAUGAGGAACCAGUUGAGAACGCUUACGAGGAUCAAGCCUUCGACAACUCUGAGAACCUUGCAGGCAAGAUGAUCAUACCUUCGAUAUCACUUCUAUCUCUGCUUGCUAGUACUCGCUCUAUCGCUAUGUUAGCUCUACCUGCCUUUGUUUACCAUGCCUACCUAUUGCCAUGUGAAACCUCUAACCAACCUGUCCUAGCAACCGUUGUUUGGCUAUGUCACCACUUUUGCUCAGCCCCUCUUAUAGCGUUGUUAGUUGCAGGUGACGAUGAAGUUUGUUCCUGGACGGAACAUGGAUAUUUUGGGAUAUCACAAUAUCUCCUGUUUAAAUUAAUGCACCAUAUAUAUUUGGUAAAGGGUGGAAGGCUCGGCCUUAUGCCUGGUGACUUGUUCCACUCUUGUCGCCCUAGUUUCCGUCAUACCGGUGUUAUGUUCCUUGAUUUUGCGUUCCUUACACGGUUGGGUGAUUUAUGGGACCCCCUUAAUAGUUCGCUUUGAAUAAAACUCCUCCAGCAAGGCCCAACCUUGGUUUUACCAUUUGCCACCUAAGCCCUUUUCCCUUGGGUUUUCGCGAGCCGAAGGGUCAUCUUUAUUUACCCCCCCCCCCGGGCCAGUGCUCCUCGUGAGUGUUGGUCCAACCUGUCAGCCGCCGGUGUCCACCAGGGGCAACUCUGGGCUGGCCUACCGGAAGUUUGGACGAUCCGGUGUGCCCUGAGAACGAGAUAUGCGCAGCUCCUAUCGGGAUUUGUCGGCGCAUCGGGUGGCUUUGCUGGUCUUGUUUUACCAUUGUCGAAAUGUUUUGCGAACCGGGAUUCCGAGACUGAUCGGGUCUUCCCGGGAGAAGGUCUAUUCCUUCGUUGACCGUGAGAGCUUGUGAUGGGCUGAGUUGGGACACCCCUGCAGGGUAUAUAAUCUUUUGAAAGCCGUGCCCGCGGUUAUGAGGCAGAUGGGAAUUUGUUAAUGUCCGGUUGUAGAUAACUUGACACUUGACCUCUUUAAAAUGCAUCAACCGCGUGUGUAGCCGUGAUGGUCUCUUCUCGGCGGAGUCCGGGAAGUGAACACGGUUUGUGUUAUGCUUGACGUAAGUAGUUUCAGGAUCACUUCUUGAUCGCUUCUAGUUUCUCGACCGACGCGUUGCUUCUCUUCUCGCUCUCACUUGCGUAUGUUAGCCACCAUAUAUGCUUAGUGCUUGCCGCAGCUCCACCAUAUUACCCCUUACCUACCUAUGAGCUUAAAUAGUAUUGAUCUCGCGGGUGUGAGAUUGCUAAGUCCUUGUGGCUCACAGAUUCUACCAAACAGAUGCAGGUGCCGAGGAUACUGGCGUAGAUGGCGCAACUGAGCUGAAGUGGGAAUUUGAUGAGGCCCUUGGUCGUUACUAUGUAUCGUUUCCAGAUGAUCAGUAGAGGAGCCCAGUCGGGGCGAUCGGGGAUCUAGCAUUUGGGGUUGUCUUCUUUUCAUUUUGAACUUGACCAUAGUCGGUCUAUGAGUGUAUUUGAAUGAUGUAUGAUCUAAUUUAUGUAUUGUGUGAAGUGGCAAUUGUAAGCCAACUCUCUUUAUCCCAUUCUUGUUCAUUACAUGGGAUUGUGUGAAGAUGACCCUUCUUGCAACAAAACCACCAUGCGGUUAUGCCUCUAAGUCGUGCUUCGACACGUGGGAGAUAUAGCCGCAUCGUGGGUGUUACAUGAUGCUACUGAAAAUUAUUAUGAGGGAGGAAUAUAUGCUUGUAGGAAUUGCAAUAAUAUCAAGUUUCCUCUCUAUGUGUCGAAAAUCUUGAAGUUAUGCUUGUUUUGCCUUCCUAUGCUAGUUAAUUCUUGUUCCCAUAAAUUGUUUG
Molecule: long non-coding RNA, 3712 nt
Filed under: Triticum aestivum (bread wheat)
Lineage: Eukaryota; Viridiplantae; Streptophyta; Magnoliopsida; Poales; Poaceae
Description: long non-coding RNA (TAES_LNC016194)
Source: RNAcentral